AUUGAACGCUGGCGGUAUGCUUAACACAUGCAAGUCGAACGGUAACAGGACGCUGGGAUCCCUUCGGGGUGACCUUGUCGCUGACGAGUGGCGGACGGGUGAGUAAUACUUAGGAAUCUGCCCAGUAGUGGGGGACAACACGGGGAAACUCGUGCUAAUACCGCAUACGCCUUACGAGGGAAAGUGGGGGAUCUUCGGACCUCACGCUAUUGGAUGAGCCUAAGUCGGAUUAGCUUGUUGGUGAGGUAAAGGCUCACCAAGGCGACAAUCCGUAGCUGGUCUGAGAGGACGAUCAGCCACACUGGGACUGAGACACGGCCCAGACUCCUACGGGAGGCAGCAGUGGGGAAUAUUGGACAAUGGGGGCAACCCUGAUCCAGCAAUACCGCGUGUGUGAAGAAGGCCUGCGGGUUGUAAAGCACUUUCAGUAGAGAAGAAAAGCUUACGCUUAAUACGUGUGAGUCUUGACGUAACCUACAGAAGAAGCACCGGCUAACUCCGUG
RNAcentral lists this ribosomal RNA (503 nucleotides) under uncultured bacterium. RNAcentral describes it as "bacterial SSU rRNA". It matches the Rfam family "Bacterial small subunit ribosomal RNA", at positions 30 to 507 of the family's 1533-position model. The record is from RNAcentral.